UUUCGAUUGUCCUUGCGAUAAAUGUGUAUAUUUAUUUUAUUUGAGUAUAUUUAAUUGUUGAAGUGUUAGGAGGCGCCAGCGCACAUAAAUUUGCCGAGCGUCUGCUGUAAAUUACAGCUGAAGCAGCAACUGGCGCAUAAAUCUUAGCUCGCAACACGAUGGACAGUGUGAAAAGAAUGCAGCUAUGCAAAAGCACACACACACACACAUAGCGCGACAAAACUGAGGCAUUCACAAUUCACAGCUCACACUCAGCCAAGUCCUGGCCCGCAUCCGACCCACUCGAAGCGCCCAUCUGGGGCCACUUGAAUUACGUACGCCACAAGUGAAGUAAUGAGGAAGUCUCCCUCCCCCCCCCCCCCCCACCCUCCCUCGGGCAGAAACGGAAAAGGGAAAGCAAUGGCAACAAUUGCGUAAACGCCGAGGCGGAACCGGAUAUAAAUAUUAAAGCUUAAGGCUAUAUAAAUAUAUACUACUAUAUUUUCAAAAGUCUAACUAAUAAAUAAACUUUUCCAAGUGCCCGCAUUUAAGCAUGUGCAAAGCGAAACAUUCUCCAACUGCCUGACUGAUAAACGAUGCUAAUCCACAUCAAUAAAACAAAAAUAACAAAAAAAGGAACGAACUUAAAACAGAAUAAAGGAACCGAGAGGAUGGCUUUGGGGAAGGUCGAGCGGGAGAUGGAAGGUCACGCUGAUAUAUUUUCCCAAUAACAUGACAAAGUUGAUUGCAAACAAUCUAAUAGACUUUUCAGUAAUUUAGCGAAAAGAGAUUUAACUGAAAAUAGCAAAAAAUAAAUGGAAUUAUUUGUGUACAAGUACUUUGGAAGUGACAGUUAUAAAAGAUGAAAUGGCAAGCUCUUCAAAGCGAUUAUCAUUAAUCAAUAAGUGGAACUUUAAAGAUUU
Molecule: long non-coding RNA, 902 nt
Organism: Drosophila montana
Lineage: Eukaryota; Metazoa; Arthropoda; Insecta; Diptera; Drosophilidae
Exons: 2
Source: RefSeq, a predicted model, not a curated record